UACGUAGGUGGCAAGCGUUGUCCGGAAUUAUUGGGCGUAAAGCGCUCGCAGGCGGUCCUUUAAGUCUGAUGUGAAAUCCCACGGCUCAACCGUGGAAGGUCAUUGGAAACUGGGGGACUUGAGUACAGAAGAGGAAAGCGGAAUUCCAAGUGUAGCGGUGAAAUGCGUAGAGAUUUGGAGGAACACCAGUGGCGAAGGCGGCGGUCUGGGCUGUAACUGACGCUGAGGAGCGAAAGCGUGGGGAGCAAACAGG
RNAcentral lists this ribosomal RNA (253 nucleotides) under uncultured bacterium. RNAcentral describes it as "partial 16S ribosomal RNA". It matches the Rfam family "Bacterial small subunit ribosomal RNA", at positions 524 to 776 of the family's 1533-position model. The record is from RNAcentral.